GCCUGAAUAGCCUUGUGGUUAAGCUGUUCGACUCCUAGUCGUCCGUACUGGGUUUGAGUCCCAGUUUGGGCU
RNAcentral lists this transfer RNA (72 nucleotides) under Fasciola hepatica (liver fluke). It matches the Rfam family "tRNA". Rfam says of the family: Transfer RNA (tRNA) molecules are approximately 80 nucleotides in length. Their secondary structure includes four short double-helical elements and three loops (D, anti-codon, and T loops). Further hydrogen bonds mediate the characteristic L-shaped molecular structure. tRNAs have two regions of fundamental functional importance: the anti-codon, which is responsible for specific mRNA codon recognition, and the 3' end, to which the tRNAs corresponding amino acid is attached (by aminoacyl-tRNA synthetases). tRNAs cope with the degeneracy of the genetic code in two manners: having more than one tRNA (with a specific anti-codon) for a particular amino acid; and 'wobble' base-pairing, i.e. permitting non-standard base-pairing at the 3rd anti-codon position. Lineage: Eukaryota; Metazoa; Platyhelminthes; Trematoda; Plagiorchiida; Fasciolidae. The record is from Rfam by way of RNAcentral.